This 695-nucleotide ribosomal RNA is filed under the name uncultured Actinomycetes bacterium. RNAcentral describes it as "bacterial SSU rRNA". It matches the Rfam family "Bacterial small subunit ribosomal RNA", at positions 717 to 1411 of the family's 1533-position model. Lineage: Bacteria; Bacillati; Actinomycetota; Actinomycetes. The record is from RNAcentral.
GAAGGCACAUCUCUGGCCCGUAACUGACGCUGAGGAGCGAAAGCGUGGGGAGCGAACAGGAUUAGAUACCCUGGUAGUCCACGCCGUAAACGGUGGGGGGUUAGCUGUGGGCCACAUUCCACGUGGUCCGUGACGAAGUUAACACAUUAAGCACCCCGCCUGGGGAGUACGGCCGCAAGGCUAAAACUCAAAGGAAUUGACGGGGGCCCGCACAAGCGGCGGAGCAUGCGGAUUAAUUCGAUGCAACGCGAAGAACCUUACCAAGGCUUGACAUAUAGAGGAAAAGUGCAGAAAUGUACUCCCCGCAAGGUCUCUAUACAGGUGGUGCAUGGUUGUCGUCAGCUCGUGUCGUGAGAUGUUGGGUUAAGUCCCGCAACGAGCGCAACCCUCGUCCUAUGUUGCCAGCACGUAAUGGUGGGAACUCAUGGGAUACUGCCGGGGUCAACUCGGAGGAAGGUGGGGAUGACGUCAAAUCAUCAUGCCCCUUAUGUCUUGGGCUUCACGCAUGCUACAAUGGCCGGUACAGAGGGCUGCAAUACCGUAAGGUGGAGCGAGUCCCAAAAAGCCGGUCUCAGUUCGGAUUGAGGUCUGCAACUCGACCUCAUGAAGUCGGAGUCGCUAGUAAUCGUAGAUCAGCAACGCUACGGUGAAUACGUUCCCGGGCCUUGUACACACCGCCCGUCAGUCACGAAAGU